AGCGGGAGCCCCCAGAUGGGCCCUGAGACAAGGGCCCAGGCCCUACGGGGCGCACCAGGCGCGAAAACUCCGCAAUGCGGGCAACCGCGACGGGGGGACCCCCAGUGCCGUGGCAUCGCCACGGCUUUUCCGGAGUGUAAAAAGCUCCGGGAAUAAGGGCUGGGCAAGGCCGGUGGCAGCCGCCGCGGUAAUACCGGCGGCCCGAGUGGUGGCCGCUAUUAUUGGGCCUAAAGCGUCCGUAGCCGGGCCCGUAAGUCCCUGGCGAAAUCCCACGGCUCAACCGUGGGGCUUGCUGGGGAUACUGCGGGCCUUGGGACCGGGAGAGGCCGGGGGUACCCCUGGGGUAGGGGUGAAAUCCUAUAAUCCCAGGGGGACCGCCAGUGGCGAAGGCGCCCGGCUGGAACGGGUCCGACGGUGAGGGACGAAGGCCAGGGGAGCGAACCGGAUUAGAUACCCGGGUAGUCCUGGCUGUAAAGGAUGCGGGCUAGGUGUCGGGCGAGCUUCGAGCUCGCCCGGUGCCGAAGGGAAGCCGUUAAGCCCGCCGCCUGGGGAGUACGGCCGCAAGGCUGAAACUUAAAGGAAUUGGCGGGGGAGCACUACAAGGGGUGGAGCGUGCGGUUUAAUUGGAGUCAACGCCGGAA
RNAcentral lists this ribosomal RNA (641 nucleotides) under uncultured archaeon. RNAcentral's name for it is "bacterial SSU rRNA". It matches the Rfam family "Archaeal small subunit ribosomal RNA", at positions 281 to 923 of the family's 1478-position model. The record is from RNAcentral.